UAGUUCCCAACCUACACCACA
Molecule: microRNA, 21 nt
Filed under: Populus trichocarpa (black cottonwood)
Lineage: Eukaryota; Viridiplantae; Streptophyta; Magnoliopsida; Malpighiales; Salicaceae
Description: ptc-miR7832
Source: miRBase by way of RNAcentral